UAUUUAAAAAAUAAAAUCAAUAACCUUUAGUGGACAGGUUUUAUGUUUUCAGGUAAUGUAUAGUUUAUGUUUACAUUACGACACGUCAAAUUUGACAACUGAUACAGUUUUCAUUAUUUUAUCGGUUUUCGCUAUAUUAACCGAUAAAAAAUCCGUUAGUUUCAUAAUGAACAAUUACAGAAGUAUAAUUUCCGUAAGUCUCACUGCGAUAUUCUGCCCCAAAAGUUGUAGAACCAAAAAAUGCCAUCGAGUUUACCAAGAAAAAGUAAGCAACUCAUUUCUAAUCUUAUUCGUUUUUUUGAACGAGAAAGGGAUCAUGGUGGUCCACUUUUACCAUCCGCAGCAGUGAGAGAGAAUUGCGGAUGCAGUAAAUAUGGCCUGCGAACAGUGACUUCCAUUUCACAAAUUUCUUAAUCGACCAAACGUUUAGAAAGUCCUAAAAGCAAGGGAGUGUAAGAAACCCAUUAGCGAUGGUGAUCGUGAAACACAAGCAGCGAUUUGGAACUCUGUCUACGACAUGAUCCAACACGAAUACCAUCUAACGAUUCAAUCGCAUUUGCAAGUUCUAAAAGAACGCGGCAUAGGCUACCUGUUACAAAUAACCACUGAAAUAUUUUUUAGUAAUUGGUCAAUAGAAGUCGUUGAUGUAAUGGCUAUCCUACCCACAAUGCAGUACUAUCGGUAUGGUUCAUACAUAUUCUCUUCCAUUGUUGCAUGAUGCAAUGUAAACAUACUUAGUGAUGACGUUAUAUUAUAAUACAUCGAUGACAUGGGCACAAAUUAAGGAAAAUCCUAC
Molecule: long non-coding RNA, 796 nt
Organism: Photinus pyralis (common eastern firefly)
Lineage: Eukaryota; Metazoa; Arthropoda; Insecta; Coleoptera; Lampyridae
Exons: 3
Source: RefSeq, a predicted model, not a curated record